UAGAGCAACGGACUGUUAAUCCGUGUGUCCCUGGUUCGAGCCCAGGUCGAGGAGCCA
Molecule: transfer RNA, 57 nt
Filed under: Methylotenera sp. RIFCSPLOWO2_02_FULL_45_14
Lineage: Bacteria; Pseudomonadati; Pseudomonadota; Betaproteobacteria; Nitrosomonadales; Methylophilaceae
Description: tRNA-Ser
Rfam family: tRNA
About the family: Transfer RNA (tRNA) molecules are approximately 80 nucleotides in length. Their secondary structure includes four short double-helical elements and three loops (D, anti-codon, and T loops).
Source: RNAcentral